UACAGAGGGGGCAAGCGUUGUUCGGAAUUACUGGGCGUAAAGGGCGCGUAGGCGGCCUGUUAAGUCGAACGUGAAAUCCCCGGGCUCAACCCGGGAACUGCGUCCGAUACUGGCAGGCUUGAAUCCGGGAGAGGGAUGCGGAAUUCCAGGUGUAGCGGUGAAAUGCGUAGAGAUCAGCAGGAACACCCGUGGCGAAGGCGGCCCCCUGGGCCGAACCUGACGCUGAGGCGCGAAGGCUAGGGGAGCGAACGGG
RNAcentral lists this ribosomal RNA (253 nucleotides) under uncultured bacterium. RNAcentral describes it as "partial 16S ribosomal RNA". It matches the Rfam family "Bacterial small subunit ribosomal RNA", at positions 524 to 776 of the family's 1533-position model. The record is from RNAcentral.